GGAUACUCCCUUCUAUUAAAGUUGGAACGAUUAAAAGAUUGGCAUGGCCCCUACAUAAGGAUGACAUGCAUAUUUGUGAAAUGUUCUAUUUUUUC
RNAcentral lists this small nuclear RNA (95 nucleotides) under Catagonus wagneri (Chacoan peccary). The record is from RNAcentral. Lineage: Eukaryota; Metazoa; Chordata; Mammalia; Artiodactyla; Tayassuidae.